AGUUUGAUCCUGGCUCAGGAUGAACGCUAGCGGCAGGCUUAACACAUGCAAGUCGAGGGGUAGAAGGAGCUUGCUCCUUUGAGACCGGCGCACGGGUGCGUAACGCGUAUGCAAUCUACCUUGUACAGGGGGAUAGCCCAGAGAAAUUUGGAUUAAUACCCCAUAGUAUUUUCAGAUGGCCUCAUUUGAUUAUUAAAGUUCCAACGGUACAAGAUGAGCAUGCGUCCCAUUAGCUAGUUGGUGUGGUAACGGCAUACCAAGGCAACGAUGGGUAGGGGUCCUGAGAGGGAGAUCCCCCACACUGGUACUGAGACACGGACCAGACUCCUACGGGAGGCAGCAGUGAGGAAUAUUGGUCAAUGGGCGCAAGCUGAACCAGCCAUGCCGCGUGCAGGAUGACGGUCCUAUGGAUUGUAAACUGCUUUUGUACAGGAAGAAACCCUCCCUUGUAAGGGAGCUUGACGGUACUGUAAGAAUAAGGAUCGGCUAACUCCGUGCCAGCAGCCGCGGUAAUACGGAGGAUCCAAGCGUUAUCCGGAAUCAUUGGGUUUAAAGGGUCCGUAGGCGGUUUUAUAAGUCAGUGGUGAAAUCUGGUCGCUCAACGAUCAAACGGCCAUUGAUACUGUAAGACUUGAAUUACUUGGAAGUAACUAGAAUAUGUAGUGUAGCGGUGAAAUGCUUAGAGAUUACAUGGAAUACCGAUUGCGAAGGCAGGUUACUACGAGUAUAUUGACGCUGAUGGACGAAAGCGUGGGGAGCGAACAGGAUUAGAUACCCUGGUAGUCCACGCCGUAAACGAUGGAUACUAGCUGUUUGGAGCAAUCUGAGUGGCUAAGCGAAAGUGAUAAGUAUCCCACCUGGGGAGUACGCUCGCAAGAGUGAAACUCAAAGGAAUUGACGGGGGCCCGCACAAGCGGAGGAGCAUGUGGUUUAAUUCGAUGAUACGCGAGGAACCUUACCAAGGCUUAAAUGGGAAACGACAGAUUUGGAAACAGAUCUUUCUUCGGACGUUUUUCAAGGUGCUGCAUGGUUGUCGUCAGCUCGUGCCGUGAGGUGUCAGGUUAAGUCCUAUAACGAGCGCAACCCCUGUUGCUAGUUGCCAGCGAGUCAUGUCGGGAACUCUAGCAAGACUGCCGGUGCAAACCGCGAGGAAGGUGGGGAUGACGUCAAAUCAUCACGGCCCUUACGUCUUGGGCUACACACGUGCUACAAUGGACGGUACAGAGAGCAGCCACUACGCAAGUAGGAGCGAAUCUACAAAACCGUUCUCAGUUCGGAUCGGAGUCUGCAACUCGACUCCGUGAAGCUGGAUUCGCUAGUAAUCGCA
Molecule: ribosomal RNA, 1327 nt
Filed under: Flavobacterium columnare
Lineage: Bacteria; Pseudomonadati; Bacteroidota; Flavobacteriia; Flavobacteriales; Flavobacteriaceae
Description: bacterial SSU rRNA
Rfam family: Bacterial small subunit ribosomal RNA
Source: RNAcentral